AAAGGAAUGAGGAAGGAAGGAAGGAAGGAAGGAAGGAAGGAAGGAAGGAUAGGAAGGAAGGAAGGAAGGAAAGGGAGGAAGGAAAGGAAAGGCAGGAAGGAAGGAAGGAAUGGAAGGAAGGNNNNNNNNNNNNNNNNNNNNNNNNNAAGGAAGGAAGGAAGGAAGGAAGGAAGGAAGGAAGGAAGGAAGGAAGGAAGGAAGGAAGGAAGGAAUACAGUUAUGAAAUUUUAAAAAAGAUAUGAAAGCAACAGUGAACUACUCAGACUAAAAUAAGAGAAUAAAUGCUUAACGGUGAAUGAAGAUGAGAUCGAAGCAUUUGCUUCCAAGACUUUUCCUUUUCUGGCUUUCUGGCACUGUUGCUCAUAUUCUCACACAUCUGUGAUUCCCCCAUCUGUUCAAGUUCCUGAAGGUCCUGCGUGGAUAAAUAAAAGGGAAGGGGAAAUGGAAAACACCACUACGGAACGAAUGGAAAAACACUUAGGAAAACAUUUUGCCAUUCCUCAAAAGAAUGGACUAUUUAACCGGAGCCUUAUGGUUAACGACUGGAAGAGGUAAGGAGAUCGCAGAAGCAAAGACACAGGAGCGAUUCCUGUUUGUGCCGCUGGUGGGGAAAUGUUGGCCAACGGAGGCGGCGAAGCUCCUUCUGCCCGCAGCGCUUUCAGGCGCAGGCGCCCAGAGAGCCGUGCGAGCUGCUCGGGAAGGGCGGCGGGGCACGGAGCCGGGCGCUCGGGGGCUUUGGGCCGAGCUGCUGGCAAAGGCUUUGGGCUUUUGGGUGCCGAGCGUCGGGGUCCGGCGAAAAGGUGCCGAGCGAUGGGGCCGCUGGGAAAGGCCGGCUGUGGCGGAGAGGGACGCGCGCGCGGAGCCGGAGCGGCGGCGGCGGCGGCGAGAGGCAAGUGCUGCUGUGGCUGGUGUGCGUUUGCGUGUGGGAAGAAGCGGGCCGAACGCUGGCGCUAUUCCUGGCGGAGGAAAUGGCGAGGGAGUCGUUGGUGGGCAAACGUGGCCCAGGACCUGGGGCUUUCUCCGAGCCAGCUGGCGGCUCGCAAGGCGCGCGUGGUGUCCGAGGGGAGCGAGCAGCUAUUCCGCUGGAUCCGCACACAGCGGCCUCGACGGGUGACGGAGAAC
RNAcentral lists this long non-coding RNA (1122 nucleotides) under Coturnix japonica (Japanese quail). Its description in RNAcentral is "lncRNA (ENSCJPG00005011493.1)". Lineage: Eukaryota; Metazoa; Chordata; Aves; Galliformes; Phasianidae. The record is from RNAcentral.